CGCAUACGAUCUACGGAUGAAAGCGGGGGAUCGCAAGACCUCGCGCGGACGGAGCGGCCGAUGGCAGAUUAGGUAGUUGGUGGGAUAAAAGCUUACCAAGCCGACGAUCUGUAGCUGGUCUGAGAGGACGACCAGCCACACUGGGACUGAGACACGGCCCAGACUCCUACGGGAGGCAGCAGUGGGGAAUUUUGGACAAUGGGCGAAAGCCUGAUCCAGCCAUGCCGCGUGCAGGAUGAAGGCCUUCGGGUUGUAAACUGCUUUUGUACGGAACGAAAAAGUCUUCUCUAAUACAGGGGGCGAAUGACGGUACCGUAAGAAUAAGCACCGGCUAACUACGUGCCAGCAGCCGCGGUAAUACGUAGGGUGCGAGCGUUAAUCGGAAUUACUGGGCGUAAAGCGUGCG
Molecule: ribosomal RNA, 406 nt
Filed under: uncultured bacterium
Lineage: Bacteria
Description: bacterial SSU rRNA
Rfam family: Bacterial small subunit ribosomal RNA
Source: RNAcentral